Molecule: ribosomal RNA, 252 nt
Filed under: uncultured Bacteroidales bacterium
Lineage: Bacteria; Pseudomonadati; Bacteroidota; Bacteroidia; Bacteroidales
Description: partial 16S ribosomal RNA
Rfam family: Bacterial small subunit ribosomal RNA
Source: RNAcentral
UACGGAGGAUGCGAGCGUUAUCCGGAUUUAUUGGGUUUAAAGGGUGCGCAGGCGGAAUGUCAAGUCAGCGGUAAAAUUUCGGGGCUCAACCCCGUCGUGCCGUUGUAACUGUGUCCCUUGAGUGCGCGAAGGGUAGGCGGAAUGCGUGGUGUAGCGGUGAAAUGCAUAGAUAUCACGCAGAACUCCGAUCGCGAAGGCAGCCUACCGGCGCGCUACUGACGCUCAUGCACGAAAGUGUGGGUAUCGAACAGG